GACGAACGCUGGCGGCGUGCUUAACACAUGCAAGUCGAACGGAAAGGCCCUGCUUUUGUGGGGUGCUCGAGUGGCGAACGGGUGAGUAACACGUGAGUAACCUGCCCUUGACUUUGGGAUAACUUCAGGAAACUGGGGCUAAUACCGGAUAGGAGCUCCUGCUGCAUGGUGGGGGUUGGAAAGUUUCGGCGGCUGGGGAUGGACUCGCGGCUUAUCAGCUUGUUGGUGGGGUAGUGGCUUACCAAGGCUUUGACGGGUAGCCGGCCUGAGAGGGUGACCGGCCACAUUGGGACUGAGAUACGGCCCAGACUCCUACGGGAGGCAGCAGGGGGGAAUAUUGCACAAUGGGGGGAAGCCUGAAGCAGCAACGCCGCGUGCGGGAUGAAGGCCUUCGGGGUGGAAACCGCUUUCGCCUGUGACGAAGCGUGAGUGACGGUAAUGGGUAAAGAAGCACCGGCUAACUACGUG
This 468-nucleotide ribosomal RNA is filed under the name uncultured bacterium. Its description in RNAcentral is "partial 16S ribosomal RNA". It matches the Rfam family "Bacterial small subunit ribosomal RNA", at positions 28 to 507 of the family's 1533-position model. The record is from RNAcentral.